UUUAGUUGGGCUUUGUUGUGCAAAAGGGCUUUGAUGAUAUCAUCAAUCCAACCCCUUUAAUCUCCACCGGAAACGCAAGCCAUCACCGUCGUCGAUGGCUGCUGCUCGCCGGAGAGAAGCUUCAAUGAAAAACACAACUUCUCUGUAAAAGCAAAGCCACGUCCUCAAUCUUCUGCUCCCUCUAUCGCCAUCUCCGUCGUCGCUGGAUAGACGCUCCAAUAUCAUGAUUCCUCGCCUGAAAUCGACAUCAUCUUCAAUCACGAUCUUCUCUUCUUUGGUUGUCGAAGAGCAGCGACAAAGAAAACGUCGAACAAUUUGGAGUCAAAGAUGGAUCAAACAACUCAUGAAAUUCGAAGAGAUAAAAGAGGUAAACGAAGUAGAAAUUGAAAAAUAGAAUCAUCGUAAGCAAAUUGGGCAUGAAAUCGAAGAAUAGAAUCUAUAACUCUCUCUCUCUCUCUCUCUCUCUCUCUCUCUCUUUGUUUCUCUGGGUUUGUGAAUUGUGAUGAUAUUUAAAACGUUUGUGAUGUAUAUAUAGAUUUUCUUGUAAUCAAAGUUUCCAUUUUUUUUGGAAUUCAAAGUUUCCUUUUUUUUACUCUUUUCAAAAUUUCCUUUUUUUUUUGUGAGUCUUUUGUGUUGAUUUUUCUCUUAACUGUUUUGUGUUUGUUUCCUUUUUUCUUAAUAGGUUCAGGAUACGAUUUGUGAUGUAAAUCGUAAGAUUCUGCGAGCUUGUGUAGAUUUUUGGAAACAAAGUUUGAGCAUUUUCAUGACAACAAGUCUCUUUCUCUGUCUUUGCGUUGCUUGCUUUGUUAUCAUCUUCUAAAUCUGCAGGAAAGUCUCUUCAUGAUUUUGAUAGAUAAAUCUUACAUAGCCGAGAUUCUCGAGCCAAGAAGAAGAAGAAGAAGAAGAUACUUGUGUUCAGGAUUUGGUUGAGAUGGAAUCAACCAAUGCACAGGCUCAUGAGGCUGCACAAGCUUCUUCUUUAUAGAUAUCUGAUUUGUUAGAAGAGCUAAAUCAGCUUUAAAGUUUAAAGAUAUCUGAUGAUUUGGCAUUGGUUUUGAAAGAGGUGGCUAUGGAUUGUAGUUAAAUGGAAGAGAGGCUUGUUGUCGCGGAAACAGAGCUCGAGGCUCCAAGGUUCUCAGCAAUGGAAGGAGAAACACGAGGAAGCGCAGACUCAUAUCUCACAGUGAGAUAAUUCGUUUUUUUUUUAAAUAAUUUUUUACAAAUAAUCUAAGAUUUUUUUUCCGAUUUUGCAUAAUAACCCAUGCUUAACACUAGGAAAAAAAAGAGUAGCUUAUUAGCAAUUAACAGUACUAUAGGUGUACACACUACACAUAUGACAUAACUAGAGUUACGAUUUAAAAAAAAAAAACAUAAAACACAUUGAGAAGAAUGAAAUAAUUGGAUUUAAGUUUUCAGUUUUACUCCAAUCUGGUUUAUUGAGUUAAUUCUUUAGCGUUACGUUGGCUUGUAGAUCAAGCUCCGGCGAAGUGUUACUAAUACGGCGUCGCAUUGGAGAAUGCAUUCUCACAUAAAAGUUAAGGAAAAGCAACAAAAUCGC
Molecule: long non-coding RNA, 1558 nt
Filed under: Arabidopsis lyrata
Lineage: Eukaryota; Viridiplantae; Streptophyta; Magnoliopsida; Brassicales; Brassicaceae
Description: long non-coding RNA (ALYR_LNC000747)
Source: RNAcentral